GACAGAGGUGGCAAGCGUUGUUCGGAAUUACUGGGCUUAAAGGGCGCGUAGGUGUCCCGGCAAGUCAGAUGUGGAAUCUCUCCGCUUAACGGGGAAAUUGCAUCUGAAACUGUCGGGAUUGAGUCAGCGAGGGGAUGGCGGAAUUCCAGGUGUAGCGGUGAAAUGCGUAGAUAUCUGGAGGAAGGCCGGUGGCGAAGGCGGCCAUCUGGCGCUGAACUGACACUGAGGCGCGAAAGCGUGGGGAGCAAACAGG
RNAcentral lists this ribosomal RNA (253 nucleotides) under uncultured bacterium. Its description in RNAcentral is "partial 16S ribosomal RNA". It matches the Rfam family "Bacterial small subunit ribosomal RNA", at positions 524 to 776 of the family's 1533-position model. The record is from RNAcentral.